Molecule: ribosomal RNA, 305 nt
Filed under: uncultured bacterium
Lineage: Bacteria
Description: bacterial SSU rRNA
Rfam family: Bacterial small subunit ribosomal RNA
Source: RNAcentral
UUUGCCCUACGGGGGGCAGCAGUGAGGAAUAUUGGUCAAUGGGAGGAAUCCUGAACCAGCCAUGCCGCGUGCAGGACGACGGCUCUACGAGUUGUAAACUGCUUUUGUACCGGGGUAAAAUGCCUUACGAGUAGGGUUUUGAAAGUACGGUACGAAUAAGGAUCGGCUAACUCCGUGCCAGCAGCCGCGGUAAUACGGAGGAUGCGAGCGUUAUCCGGAUUUAUUGGGUUUAAAGGGUGCGUAGGCGGGCUUUUAAGUCAGCGGUAAAAAUUCGGGGCUCAACCCCGUCCGGCCGUUGAAACUGG